GAUGAACGCUGGCGGCGUGCCUAAUACAUGCAAGUCGAGCGAACAGACGAGGAGCUUGCUCCUCUGACGUUAGCGGCAGACGGGUGAGUAACACGUGGAUAACCUACCUAUAAGACUGGGAUAACUUCGGGAAACCGGAGCUAAUACCGGAUAAUAUAUUGAACCGCAUGGUUCAAUAGUGAAAGACGGUUUUGCUGUCACUUAUAGAUGGAUCCGCGCCGCAUUAGCUAGUUGGUAAGGUAACGGCUUACCAAGGCAACGAUGCGUAGCCGACCUGAGAGGGUGAUCGGCCACACUGGACCUGAGACCCGGUCCAGACUCCUACGGGAGGCAGCAGUAGGGAAUCUUCCGCAAUGGGCGAAAGCUUGACGGAGCAACGCCGCGUGGGUGAUGAAGGUCUUCGGUUCGUAAAACUCUGUUAUUAGGGAAGAACAAAUGUGUAAGUAGCUAUGCACGUCUUGACGGUACCUAAUCAGAAAGCCACGGCUACCUACGU
This 496-nucleotide ribosomal RNA is filed under the name uncultured bacterium. RNAcentral describes it as "partial 16S ribosomal RNA". It matches the Rfam family "Bacterial small subunit ribosomal RNA", at positions 28 to 506 of the family's 1533-position model. The record is from RNAcentral.